Molecule: unclassified non-coding RNA, 403 nt
Filed under: Hevea brasiliensis (rubber tree)
Lineage: Eukaryota; Viridiplantae; Streptophyta; Magnoliopsida; Malpighiales; Euphorbiaceae
Source: RNAcentral
AUUUGCCUCUAAUAUAGAUCCAAGCAAGGCCAUGCACGGAGAUCUUUUAGCGCACGGGUUCUCAUAAGCAAUCAUGCAUAUCUGAUUUGCAACAUCCUGGUAAAUGUCUGUUGCAUCCUAUAGCAAAUUGAAGAAAUACGGAUAAGAAAUAGAUAGAAAGAAUUAUAGAGAAAGAAGUAAUUCUAGUAUUAUUGAAUUCUUGGUUGACCCAGUUAGUUACAAUGCUAAACUAUUUAUACAAUAUUUUUCUCCCAUACAAUCACAGCUCCUAUUCCCCUUAUUAUCGUAACAUUCCCCGCUUCUUCUUGUUCUCAAGAAUGAAAAAGAUUCCAUGAAUAAAAGAAAAAGCUUCUAAGCGCCUUGAAUGCCACGGUGGAGAUGCACUUGAAUGCUAGGAUUGAAU